RNAcentral lists this ribosomal RNA (497 nucleotides) under uncultured bacterium. RNAcentral's name for it is "partial 16S ribosomal RNA". It matches the Rfam family "Bacterial small subunit ribosomal RNA", at positions 28 to 507 of the family's 1533-position model. The record is from RNAcentral.
GGUGAACGCUGGCGGCGUGCCUAAUACAUGCAAGUCGAGCGGCCAGAUAAGGAGCUUUCCCCUUUGAAGUUAGCGUCGGACGGGUGAGUAACACGCGGGUAACCUACCUCUAUGGCUGGGAUAACUUCGGGAAACCUUAGCUUAUUCCGGCUAACAUCUAUCACCGCAUGGUUCUAAAUCGCAAGAUGUCUUUGCUUUCACUUAUCGAUUGACCCGCGUCGUAUUAGCUAGUUUGUUAGGUAACGGCCUACCAAGGCGACGAUACGUAGCCGAUCUGAGAGGGUGAUCAGCCACACUGGAACUGAGACACGGUCCAGACUCCUACGGGAGGCAGCAGUAGGGAAUAUUCGACAAUGGGCGAAAGCCUGACGGAGCAAUGCCGCGUGAGUGAAGAAGGGUUUCGGGUCGUAAAACUCUGUUAUUAGGAAAGAAAAAAUGUAUGAGAAAAUGUGCAAAGCUUGACGGUACCUAAACAGAAAGCCACGGCUAACUUCGUG